GCUGGCGGCGUGCCUAAUACAUGCAAGUAGAACGCUGAAGAGAGGAGCUUGCUCUUCUUGGAUGAGUUGCGAACGGGUGAGUAACGCGUAGGUAACCUGCCUUGUAGCGGGGGAUAACUAUUGGAAACGAUAGCUAAUACCGCAUAACAAUGGAUGACACAUGUCAUUUAUUUGAAAGGGGCAAUUGCUCCACUACAAGAUGGACCUGCGUUGUAUUAGCUAGUAGGUGAGGUAACGGCUCACCUAGGCGACGAUACAUAGCCGACCUGAGAGGGUGAUCGGCCACACUGGGACUGAGACACGGCCCAGACUCCUACGGGAGGCAGCAGUAGGGAAUCUUCGGCAAUGGGGGCAACCCUGACCGAGCAACGCCGCGUGAGUGGAGAAGGUUUUCGGAUCGUAAAGCUCUGUUGUAAGUCAAGAACGAGUGUGAGAGUGGAAAGUUCACACUGUGACGGUAGCUUACCAGAAAGGGACGGCUAACUACGUGCCAGCAGCCGCGGUAAUACGUAGGUCCCGAGCGUUGUCCGGAUUUAUUGGGCGUAAAGCGAGCGCAGGCGGUUUGAUAAGUCUGAAGUUAAAGGCUGUGGCUCAACCAUAGUUCGCUUUGGAAACUGUCAAACUUGAGUGCAGAAGGGGAGAGUGGAAUUCCAUGUGUAGCGGUGAAAUGCGUAGAUAUAUGGAGGAACACCGGUGGCGAAAGCGGCUCUCUGGUCUGUAACUGACGCUGAGGCUCGAAAGCGUGGGGAGCGAACAGGAUUAGAUACCCUGGUAGUCCACGCCGUAAACGAUGAGUGCUAGGUGUUGGAUCCUUUCCGGGAUUCAGUGCCGCAGCUAACGCAUUAAGCACUCCGCCUGGGGAGUACGACCGCAAGGUUGAAACCCAAAGGAAUUGACGGGGGCCCGCACAAGCGGUGGAGCAUGUGGUUUAAUUCGAAGCAACGCGAAGAACCUUACCAGGUCUUGACAUCCCGAUGUUAUUUCUAGAGAUAGAAAGUUACUUCGGUACAUCGGUGACAGGUGGUGCAUGGUUGUCGUCAGCUCGUGUCGUGAGAUGUUGGGUUAAGUCCCGCAACGAGCGCAACCCCUAUUGUUAGUUGCCAUCAUUCAGUUGGGCACUCUAGCGAGACUGCCGGUAAUAAACUGGAGGAAGGUGGGGAUGACGUCAAAUCAUCAUGCCCCUUAUGACCUGGGCUACACACGUGCUACAAUGGUUGGUACAACGAGUUGCGAGUCGGUGACGGCAAGCUAAUCUCUUAAAGCCAAUCUCAGUUCGGAUUGUAGGCUGCAACUCGCCUACAUGAAGUCGGAAUCGCUAGUAAUCGCGGAUCAGCACGCCGCGGUGAAUACGUUCCCGGGCCUUGUACACACCGCCCGUCACACCACGAGAGUUUGUAACACCCGAAGUCGGUGAGGUAACCUUUUGGAGCCAGCCGCCUAAGGUGGGAUAGAUGAUUGGGGU
RNAcentral lists this ribosomal RNA (1462 nucleotides) under uncultured organism. RNAcentral describes it as "SSU rRNA". It matches the Rfam family "Bacterial small subunit ribosomal RNA". The record is from RNAcentral.